AGUGAACGCUGGCGGUAGGCCUAACACAUGCAAGUCGAACGGCAGCACAGUAAGAGCUUGCUCUUACGGGUGGCGAGUGGCGGACGGGUGAGGAAUACAUCGGAAUCUACUUUUUCGUGGGGGAUAACGUAGGGAAACUUACGCUAAUACCGCAUACGACCUACGGGUGAGAGCAGGGGAUCUUCGGACCUUGCGCGAUUGAAUGGGCCGAUGUCGGAUUAGCUAGUUGGCGGGGUAAAGGCCCACCAAGGCGACGAUCCGUAGCUGGUCUGAGAGGAUGAUCAGCCACACUGGAACUGAGACACGGUCCAGACUCCUACGGGAGGCAGCAGUGGGGAAUAUUGGACAAUGGGCGCAAGCCUGAUCCAGCCAUACCGCGUGGGUGAAGAAGGCCUUCGGGUUGUAAAGCCCUUUUGUUGGGAAAGAAAAGCAGCAGGUUAAUACCCCGCUGUUCUGACGGUACCCAAAGAAUAAGCACCGGCUAACUUCGUG
RNAcentral lists this ribosomal RNA (492 nucleotides) under uncultured bacterium. Its description in RNAcentral is "partial 16S ribosomal RNA". It matches the Rfam family "Bacterial small subunit ribosomal RNA", at positions 29 to 507 of the family's 1533-position model. The record is from RNAcentral.